Molecule: ribosomal RNA, 389 nt
Filed under: uncultured bacterium
Lineage: Bacteria
Description: bacterial SSU rRNA
Rfam family: Bacterial small subunit ribosomal RNA
Source: RNAcentral
AUUGAACGCUGGCGGCAUGCCUUACACAUGCAAGUCGAACGGCAGCACGGGAGCUUGCUCCUGGUGGCGAGUGGCGAACGGGUGAGUAACACAUCGGAACGUACCCUGAAGUGGGGGAUAACGUAGCGAAAGUUACGCUAAUACCGCAUAUUCUGUGAGCAGGAAAGAGGGGGAUCGCAAGACCUCUUGCUUUAGGAGCGGCCGAUGUCGGAUUAGCUAGUUGGUGAGGUAAAGGCUCACCAAGGCGACGAUCCGUAGCGGGUCUGAGAGGAUGAUCCGCCACACUGGGACUGAGACACGGCCCAGACUCCUACGGGAGGCAGCAGUGGGGAAUUUUUGGACAAUGGGCGCAAGCCUGAUCCAGCCAUGCCGCGUGAGUGAAGAAGGCC